This 444-nucleotide ribosomal RNA is filed under the name uncultured Bordetella sp. Its description in RNAcentral is "bacterial SSU rRNA". It matches the Rfam family "Bacterial small subunit ribosomal RNA", at positions 933 to 1382 of the family's 1533-position model. The record is from RNAcentral. Lineage: Bacteria; Pseudomonadati; Pseudomonadota; Betaproteobacteria; Burkholderiales; Alcaligenaceae.
UGGAUGAUGUGGAUUAAUUCGAUGCAACGCGAAAACCUUACCUACCCUUGACAUGUCUGGAAUCCCGAAGAGAUUUGGGAGUGCUCGCAAGAGAACCGGAACACAGGUGCUGCAUGGCUGUCGUCAGCUCGUGUCGUGAGAUGUUGGGUUAAGUCCCGCAACGAGCGCAACCCUUGUCAUUAGUUGCUACGAAAGGGCACUCUAAUGAGACUGCCGGUGACAAACCGGAGGAAGGUGGGGAUGACGUCAAGUCCUCAUGGCCCUUAUGGGUAGGGCUUCACACGUCAUACAAUGGUCGGGACAGAGGGUCGCCAACCCGCGAGGGGGAGCCAAUCCCAGAAACCCGAUCGUAGUCCGGAUUGUAGUCUGCAACUCGACUACAUGAAGUCGGAAUCGCUAGUAAUCGCGGAUCAGCAUGUCGCGGUGAAUACGUUCCCGGGUCUU